UAACACCUAAAAAGAUCUGAAAAAGAAGGUAGCCAAACAAAACCUAAGGUCCCUAAGCUAAAAAGAGCUGAAGGGCACCAUUUUUUCAUGAAAUAGGAAACCCCUCCCUUGAACCAUCGUCUUCUUCACCCCACCCCAUACGACCCUCCUCCUCUCCUUCACAUUCCCAUGGCUUGAACCUCAACUUUUUCAUCCCUAAACCUUCAGCAACAACCAACGUUCACCAGUUCAACACGCAGCACCACCACAACGACCACCACUGAAAAUGACAGACACGAAUGGAGAAAUCGAAAACAGUACAAAAAAAUACUUCGUCUUCUCCAUGAUUUAGUUCUUAGUUUUCUGCGACUUGGAGUUUAAUUGAUGUUUGUGCUGAUUUUGAGUUCAAAUCUGAAAUUACGGUGAACUUUAUUCAUUGUAGCUCUGUUUCGAGUUUUGGUUGAUUUUUGCUUCAGAUCUGGUCUUCAUCUCCUUCAUCUUCUGUUCUCUUUUAAAAAAUCCAACGGGCUUUUUUUCGUUGCCAUUGUUGAACCGAGCUCGUACCAGCGUAACCAUUUGAGUUUUCCGGCAAAGAUUUUGGUUCGUUCGAGUGUUCCGGUCUAAAGCUUGGUUUAUUUUUUGGUUUGGGUUUCUGCCGCCUCUGGUUUUCCGGAUUUGGUGUCAACUGACUGGGUUUAUUACUGUAUUGGUUUACAUCAAUCAUUUAACUGAGGUUUAUUCUUACUCGUACCCUUUUAGUUUUACUAUAAUAGCAAAAUAUUUGUCACUUAGCUGAAGUAUAGAUUGUUAUUCUAGUUUAUCUUGUAUGUUCCUCUUAUUUCCUUUAGUUUACUAUUUUUAUUGUAUGUUUUAAAUACGUAGUUUGACUCUAUUUGUUUUGUUAAUUUUGUGUUUGUGAUAGUCAGUACUCUUUCUCACUUACCACUUUC
This 929-nucleotide long non-coding RNA is filed under the name Nicotiana tabacum (common tobacco). RNAcentral describes it as "long non-coding RNA (NTAB_LNC007629)". The record is from RNAcentral. Lineage: Eukaryota; Viridiplantae; Streptophyta; Magnoliopsida; Solanales; Solanaceae.